CUCAAAGGAAUUGACGGGGGCCCGCACAAGCGGUGGAGCAUGUGGUUUAAUUCGACGCAACGCGCAGAACCUUACCAGCCCUUGACAUCCCGGUCGCGGACUCCAGAGAUGGAGUUCUUCAGUUCGGCUGGACCGGAGACAGGUGCUGCAUGGCUGUCGUCAGCUCGUGUCGUGAGAUGUUGGGUUAAGUCCCGCAACGAGCGCAACCCCCGUCCUUAGUUGCUACCAUUUAGUUGAGCACUCUAAGGAGACUGCCGGUGAUAAGCCGCGAGGAAGGUGGGGAUGACGUCAAGUCCUCAUGGCCCUUACGGGCUGGGCUACACACGUGCUACAAUGGCGGUGACAAUGGGACGCUAAGGGGCAACCCUUCGCAAAUCUCAAAAAGCCGUCUCAGUUCGGAUUGGGCUCUGCAACUCGAGCCCAUGAAGUUGGAAUCGCUAGUAAUCGUGGAUCAGCAUGCCACGGUGAAUACGUUCCCGGGCCUUGUACACACCGCCCGUCACACCAUGGGAGUUGGUUUUACCUGAAGACGGUGCGCUAACCCGCAAGGGAGGCAGCCGGCCACGGUAGGGUCAGCGACUGGGGUGAAGUCGUAACAA
RNAcentral lists this ribosomal RNA (599 nucleotides) under bacterium enrichment culture clone F44x_G5_T3_A11. Its description in RNAcentral is "bacterial SSU rRNA". It matches the Rfam family "Bacterial small subunit ribosomal RNA", at positions 900 to 1494 of the family's 1533-position model. The record is from RNAcentral.